This 253-nucleotide ribosomal RNA is filed under the name uncultured bacterium. Its description in RNAcentral is "partial 16S ribosomal RNA". It matches the Rfam family "Bacterial small subunit ribosomal RNA", at positions 524 to 776 of the family's 1533-position model. The record is from RNAcentral.
CACGGGGGGAGCAAGCGUUGUUCGGAAUCACUGGGCGUAAAGGGCGUGUAGGCGGUCAGGUUAGUGAGAUGUGAAACGCCCCGGCUCACCCGGGGACCUGCAUCUCAAACUGCCUGGCUUGAGUAUGGGAGAGGAUGAGGGAAUUCCUGGUGUAGCGGUGAAAUGCGUAGAUAUCAGGAGGAACACCGGUGGCGAAGGCGGUUCUCUGGGCAUUACCUGACACUGAGGAGCGAAAGUGUGGGGAGCGAACAGG